GAGGACCCGUCCCGCCCCGAGCCCCGCCCACCGCGGGGAAACCGCGCGCCCGGGGCAGGCCGGUGUCACCGAACCCUGGAGGAGCCCAGCUCCCUUCCGCUCUGAGAAGGAGAGAGAGAGGGAAGAGAGGGAAGGGAGGGAUAGAACUGAGAGGCUCGGCCUCAUGGUCGGCCCGCCGGCCGGCUUGAACAACGCUGAGGUUGAGAGGUUCUCUACCGCUGCUCUCAACUGACCAUAGAGGGCGGUGCCGGUGACUAGCCCCUGGCUGCAGGUAUUAACGCUUCAGCAUGACCCAUUAAAAUACCACAUCGCCUGUUUACUCCAUAGCUCUCCCUGUUCUCUUAGUACAGCAUGAAGACAGUGAGAGAGAACCAUAGAGGUCCCGUGGCGUUCUGAGUGUGUAUAUUGUUCUUCUCAGUGACCUGCCUAAACUUUGGGAAGCACAGAGUCCCUAACUGCAUCCUACGGGAAUUUCUGAAGAGCACCUUUCCAACAAGAGACAAGUACUGGAGGGAGAGACGUGGCUAGAAGCAUGGACGAGUCCUGUGGGCAAGAGCUGACAGUGGCCGGAGUUGCUAUGAUGGGAUCUGUUAUUCAACUGUCUUUAUUCUCGAAAUCCCCUUUCUUCUUUGAAGUGGCCGUGUCCUGUCUCAGCCUUGCAGAUAGCUGAGGGUGUAGCUAAAACUCUUUGGGAGAAACUUAUAGAGGACCAACCAAGGUCACCAAACCACGAUGACUAAUUCUUUCAGGUGACUUAAACUUGGCCCAUUGCAGUCCUGAACCGAGCAUGCCCAGAAGCAUCUGUUUUUCACCACCACUAAGAAGACAGCCUCCAGUCACUUGGUAGAAAGAAUAUUUUGAUCAGCAACGAUUUUCUCACGGCAUCAGCUUCUGCCUACCAAACCUUCCUAGAUUCCUCUGUAGGUCCUUUCUCCCACCCAGGCCAUUAAAUGUUGGGACCCUCCAAGUUCA
Molecule: non-coding RNA, 972 nt
Organism: Rattus norvegicus (Norway rat)
Lineage: Eukaryota; Metazoa; Chordata; Mammalia; Rodentia; Muridae
Source: RefSeq, a predicted model, not a curated record